Molecule: ribosomal RNA, 253 nt
Filed under: uncultured bacterium
Lineage: Bacteria
Description: partial 16S ribosomal RNA
Rfam family: Bacterial small subunit ribosomal RNA
Source: RNAcentral
UACGUAUGGUGCAAGCGUUAUCCGGAAUUACUGGGCGUAAAGGGUGAGUAGGCGGUCGAAUAAGUCAUAUGUGAAAAUCCAGGGCUCAACUCUGGACUUGCAUAAGAAACUGUUUGGCUAGAGUGCAGGAGAGGUAAGCGGAAUUCCUAGUGUAGCGGUGAAAUGCGUAGAUAUUAGGAAGAACACCAGUGGCGAAGGCGGCUUACUGGACUGUAACUGACGCUGAGUCACGAAAGCGUGGGGAGCGAACAGG